ACGGCUCAGUAACACGUAGGUAACCUACCCUUCGGACGGGCACAACCCCGGGAAACUGGGGCUAAUUCCCGAUAGGUACCCCCUUCUGGAAUGUGGGGAUAUCCAAAGCUCCGGCGCCGAAGGAUGGGCCUGCGGCCGAUUAGGUUGUUGGCGGGGUAACAGCCCACCAAGCCGACGAUCGGUACGGGCAGUGAGAGCUGUAGCCCGGAGAUGGGGACUGAGACAAGGCCCCAGGCCCUACGGGGCGCAGCAGGCGCGAAACCUUCACAAUGCACGAAAGUGUGAUGAGGGUACUCCGAGUGCGCAUACAUUGUAUGUGCUUUUCUGCAGCGUAAAUAGUUGCAGGAAUAAGGGCUGGGCAAGACCGGUGCCAGCCGCCGCGGUAACACCGACAGCCCUAGUGGUGGCCGCUCUUAUUGGGCCUAAAGCGUCCGUAGCCGGACAGGCGAGUCUUUGGGUAAAUCCUACGUCUUAAGCGUGGGAAUUCUAAAGAUACUACCUGUCUUGAGGCCGGGAGAGGCUGGAGGUACUCCUGGGGUAGGGGUAAAAUCCUAUAAUCCUGGGGGGACCACCGAUGGCGAAGGCAUCCAGCUGGAACGGGCCUGACGGUGAGGGACGAAACCCAGGGGAGCGAGCCGGAUUAGAUACCCGGGUAGUCCUGGGCGUAAAUGAUGUGGGCUUGGUGUGAGCGCAUCGACGAGGUGCGCUUGUGCCGUAGGGAAGCCGUUAAGCCCACCGCCUGGGGAGUACGGUCGCAAGGCUGAAACUUAAAGGAAUUGGCGGGGGAG
RNAcentral lists this ribosomal RNA (788 nucleotides) under uncultured euryarchaeote. RNAcentral describes it as "bacterial SSU rRNA". It matches the Rfam family "Archaeal small subunit ribosomal RNA", at positions 85 to 876 of the family's 1478-position model. Lineage: Archaea; Methanobacteriati; Methanobacteriota. The record is from RNAcentral.